GAACGAGACCUUCGGGUCUAGUGGCGCACGGGUGCGUAACGCGUGGGAAUCUGCCCUGGGGUACGGAAUAACUCAGAGAAAUUUGAGCUAAUACCGUAUGAUGACGUAAGUCCAAAGAUUUAUCGCCCUGGGAUGAGCCCGCGUAGGAUUAGCUUGUUGGUGAGGUAAAGGCUCACCAAGGCGACGAUCCUUAGCUGGUCUGAGAGGAUGAUCAGCCACACUGGGACUGAGACACGGCCCAGACUCCUACGGGAGGCAGCAGUGGGGAAUAUUGGACAAUGGGCGAAAGCCUGAUCCAGCAAUGCCGCGUGAGUGAUGAAGGCCUUAGGGUUGUAAAGCUCUUUUACCCGGGAAGAUAAUGACUGUACCGGGAGAAUAAGCUCCGGCUAACUCCGUG
This 397-nucleotide ribosomal RNA is filed under the name uncultured bacterium. RNAcentral's name for it is "bacterial SSU rRNA". It matches the Rfam family "Bacterial small subunit ribosomal RNA", at positions 64 to 507 of the family's 1533-position model. The record is from RNAcentral.